AGUGAACGCUGGCGGUAGGCCUAACACAUGCAAGUCGAACGGCAGCACAGUAAGAGCUUGCUCUUACGGGUGGCGAGUGGCGGACGGGUGAGGAAUACAUCGGAAUCUACUUUUUCGUGGGGGAUAACGUAGGGAAGCUUACGCUAAUACCGCAUACGACCUACGGGUGAAAGCAGGGGAUCUUCGGACCUUGCGCGAUUGAAUGAGCCGAUGUCGGAUUAGCUAGUUGGCGGGGUAAAGGCCCACCAAGGCGACGAUCCGUAGCUGGUCUGAGAGGAUGAUCAGCCACACUGGAACUGAGACACGGUCCAGACUCCUACGGGAGGCAGCAGUGGGGAAUACUGGACAAAGGGCGCAAGCCUGAUCCAGCCAUACCGCGUGGGUGAAGAAGGCCUUCGGGUUGUAAAGCCCUUUUGUUGGGAAAGAAAAGCAGCAGGUUAAUACCCCGCUGUUCUGACGGUACCCAAAGAAUAAGCACCGGCUAACUUCGUG
Molecule: ribosomal RNA, 492 nt
Filed under: uncultured bacterium
Lineage: Bacteria
Description: partial 16S ribosomal RNA
Rfam family: Bacterial small subunit ribosomal RNA
Source: RNAcentral